Molecule: long non-coding RNA, 499 nt
Filed under: Anas platyrhynchos (mallard)
Lineage: Eukaryota; Metazoa; Chordata; Aves; Anseriformes; Anatidae
Description: lncRNA (ENSAPLG00020008189.1)
Source: RNAcentral
CCCCUGCCCCGGCCCCACCGCCCGGGCUUUGUCCCCGCCGGCCGCCCCGUCCCUCCUCCCGCCCUUCCCCGCCCUCCGCCGGCUCUGCCUCAACUUUAGAGGCAGGUCCCGGAGGCUCCGGGAGCGGGACCGGCACCGGGCGGGGGCUGGCAGCCUCCUCCCCACCCCGGCAGCACGGAAAGGACGCGGACACCCGGAGCCGACGGCGACAGAGGAAAAAUCCCGGCAUCGCCUCGAUCAGCGUGGUUUUGGCAGCACCCACCAAAGGGGACGGGGACAGGGACAAGGAGAAGCCGUGCCAGCGCAGGGCAGUGGGGAGACGACCACCUCGCAGCACCCUCACCCUGGAAAUCGAAGGGAAGAGGAGCUCCACCAGGACCUGGGGUUAGGACUGAGCUUUCCAGCCCGGAGGAGGCUGCUCCUGCUGUGGGUUUGCAGCGGUAAAGUUGUCCCUGGCUUUUGGGGCCGGGCUGGCGUGGUGGCAUCCCUCCUCCACUAA